Non-coding RNA from Myotis lucifugus (little brown bat), 75 nucleotides. The record is from Rfam. NCBI's taxonomy places the organism in Eukaryota, Metazoa, Chordata, Mammalia, Chiroptera, Vespertilionidae.
GGCAGUUCUCGGGUGACGCACCCCAGAAUCAAGCUCCCUCCUCUCUGGUUCUGGGUGCAUCACUGGAGAACCACC